UGGCUCAGAUGGUAAAGCAUCUGCCUACAACGCAGGAGACCCUGGUUCAAUUCCGGG
Non-coding RNA from Bos taurus (domestic cattle), 57 nucleotides. The record is from Rfam. NCBI's taxonomy places the organism in Eukaryota, Metazoa, Chordata, Mammalia, Artiodactyla, Bovidae.